GAUCCUUUAUUAAUAGAUUUAUCGCUACCGGAUUGGCUCGCGUACCAUUAGCUAGUUGGCGGGGUAACGGCCCACCAAGGCGACGAUGGUUAGGGGUUCUGAGAGGAAGGUCCCCCACAUUGGAACUGAGACACGGUCCAGACUCCUACGGGAGGCAGCAGUGAGGAAUAUUGGACAAUGGCCGAGAGGCUGAUCCAGCCAUGCCGCGUGCGGGAAGACGGCCCUAUGGGUUGUAAACCGCUUUUGUUGGGGAGCAAUAAGGAUCACGUGUGGUCCGAUGAGAGUACCCAGCGAAUAAGCAUCGGCUAACUCCGUGCCAGCAGCCGCGGUAAUACGGAGGAUGCAAGCGUUAUCCGGAUUUAUUGGGUUUAAAGGGUGCGUAGGCGGAUGCCUAAGCGUGAGGUGAAAUCCCCGGGCUCAACCUGGGAACUGCCUCGCGAACUGGGUAUCUGGAAUGCCCCUGCCGUGGGAGGAAUGUGUGGUGUAGCGGUGAAAUGCAUAGAGAUCACACAGAACACCGAUUGCGAAGGCAUCUCACGAAGGGGUGAUUGACGCUGAGGCACGAAAGCGUGGGGAUCAA
RNAcentral lists this ribosomal RNA (580 nucleotides) under uncultured rumen bacterium. RNAcentral's name for it is "bacterial SSU rRNA". It matches the Rfam family "Bacterial small subunit ribosomal RNA", at positions 191 to 771 of the family's 1533-position model. The record is from RNAcentral.